This 284-nucleotide ribosomal RNA is filed under the name uncultured bacterium. Its description in RNAcentral is "partial 16S ribosomal RNA". It matches the Rfam family "Bacterial small subunit ribosomal RNA", at positions 333 to 614 of the family's 1533-position model. The record is from RNAcentral.
GGUGUCCUACGGGGCGCAGCAGUGAGGAAUAUUGGUCAAUGGCCGCAGGGCUGAACCAGCCAAGUCGCGUGAGGGAUGACGGUCCUAUGGAUUGUAAACCUCUUUUGUCAGGGAGCAAAGGGCGCCACGUGUGGCGCUUUGCGAGUACCUGAAGAAAAAGCAUCGGCUAACUCCGUGCCAGCAGCCGCGGUAAUACGGAGGAUGCGAGCGUUAUCCGGAUUUAUUGGGUUUAAAGGAUGCGCAGGCGGAAUGCCAAGUCAGCGGUAAAAUUUAGGGGCUCAACC